Molecule: long non-coding RNA, 846 nt
Organism: Bactrocera oleae (olive fruit fly)
Lineage: Eukaryota; Metazoa; Arthropoda; Insecta; Diptera; Tephritidae
Source: RefSeq, a predicted model, not a curated record
GUAGAUAUGGUAAGACCUAUUAUUUGUUAGUAUGCAACCCCUUUUUAUUGUGUGAAUUAAUAGAAUAAAUGACCAAAAUAUUAAAUAUUAUAUUAAGGCUAUUUUUGCAAUAAUAAUUGCUAAAUAAAUAUGUAGAAACAAUUAAGUGAAAUUUUAAUAUAUAAAAAAUUCACAGUAGAAAUGUCAAACUUUUUAAUAUAUGAAAAAUUCACGGUAGAAGUGUGAAACUCAAUAGAAAUCAGAAAAAAAUCCACAUUACUACACAAAGUGUUAAAUUUAUGAACUGGAAAUACAAAAAACUCAUAACCCAUAAGUCAGCGACAGUUAUAUACAAAUAUUCUUAAUCUGGAGAACCUCUUCUAUCAACCCAUUCCCAUUUCCGAAGGAUACUGUGCUAAAAUUUAACCAAUAAAUUAAUUCGCUUCUGCCCUACCAGCACCUCACCACAGUGGAACGGACAAUUACAAUUCACCACUUGUCGUGUCGAUAAUUCUCUUCAGACUAAAAAUGGGAGCAGCAGCACAGCAACGAAAUGAAAAAUUUCAUGAAAUCAGAAAAAAUCUACGAACUAUAAUAAAGUAAAACAACUCUCCUGAGACUACAGUACAAGAGUAAAUAAAUUUAGCAAUAUAGAAAAACAGUCCAACUCUCUUGUAAUGCUCUCAUGUAUGUAUGAUGAAGAAUACAAGAAUGCAAGCCAGCUCAAUUGCUUUGACAAUGCUUUUAUAAUACCGCUCGGUUUUACUUCCAUGCUAUCAAGAAAAUACCAGAGAAAUCUGGCUUCAGAAUAAACAUCAUAUGAAAAAUGUAAAUAAAGGUUGCCAAUAACAUUGAAAAUUAACAUUA